GCAAGGAGGCAGCUAACCACGGUAGGGUCAGCGACUGGGGUGAAGUCGUAACAAGGUAGCCGUAGGGGAACCUGCGGCUGGAUCACCUCCUUUCUAAGG
RNAcentral lists this ribosomal RNA (99 nucleotides) under Rhizobium rosettiformans W3. Its description in RNAcentral is "partial 16S ribosomal RNA". It matches the Rfam family "Bacterial small subunit ribosomal RNA", at positions 1441 to 1533 of the family's 1533-position model. The record is from RNAcentral. Lineage: Bacteria; Pseudomonadati; Pseudomonadota; Alphaproteobacteria; Hyphomicrobiales; Rhizobiaceae.